This 509-nucleotide long non-coding RNA is filed under the name Rattus norvegicus (Norway rat). Its description in RNAcentral is "long non-coding RNA NONRATT022109". The record is from RNAcentral. Lineage: Eukaryota; Metazoa; Chordata; Mammalia; Rodentia; Muridae.
GGAUGAAGCAAAGAAGUGCAGGCCGACAGGAGCCGGAUGUAGAUCGCUCCUGAGAGACACAGCCAGAAUACACAAAUACAGAGGCGAAUACCAGCAGCAAACCACUGAACUGAGAAUAGGACCUCCGUUGAAGGAAUCAGAGAAAGAACUGGAAGAGCUUGAAGGGGUUCAAGACCCCAUAUCUACAACAAUGCCAAGCACAGAGCUUCCAGGGACUAAGCCACUACCUAAAGACUAUACAUGGACUGACCCUGGACUCUGACCUCAUAGGUAGCAAUGAAUAUCCUAGUAAGAGCACCAGUGGAACGGGAAGCCCUGGGUCCUGCUAAGUUUGAACCCCCAGUGAACUAGAUUGUUGGGGGGAGGGCAGCAAUGGGGGGAGGAUUGGGAGGGGAACACCCAUAAAGAAGGGGAGGGGGAGGGAUUAGGGGGAUGUUUGCCUGGAAACCGGGAAAGGGAAUAUACUCGAAAUGUAUAUAAGAAAUACUCAAGUUAAUAAAAAAAAAAAA